RNAcentral lists this ribosomal RNA (799 nucleotides) under uncultured Glomus. RNAcentral's name for it is "SSU rRNA". It matches the Rfam family "Eukaryotic small subunit ribosomal RNA", at positions 314 to 1114 of the family's 1831-position model. The record is from RNAcentral. Lineage: Eukaryota; Fungi; Glomeromycota; Glomeromycetes; Glomerales; Glomeraceae.
AUCAACUUUCGAUGGUAGGAUAGAGGCCUACCAUGGUGGUAACGGGUAACGGGGUGUUAGGGCACGACACCGGAGAGGGAGCCUGAGAAACGGCUACCACAUCCAAGGAUGGCAGCAGGCGCGCAAAUUACCCAAUCCCGACACGGGGAGGUAGUGACAAUAAAUAACAAUACGGGGUUCUUUCGGAUCUCGUAAUUGGAAUGAGUACAAUUUAAAUCUCUUAACGGGGAACAAUUGGAGGGCAAGUCUGGUGCCAGCAGCCGCGGUAAUUCCAGCUCCAAUAGCGUAUAUUAAAGUUGUUGCAGUUAAAAAGCUCGUAGUUGAAUUUCGGGGUUAGUAGGUUGGUCAUGCCUCUGGUAUGUACUGGUCUCACUGAUUCCUCCUUCCUGAUGAACCGUAAUGCCAUUAAUUUGGUGUUGCGGGGAAUUUGGACUGUUACUUUGAAAAAAUUAGAGUGUUUAAAGCAAGCUAACGCUUGAAUACAUUAGCAUGGAAUAAUGAAAUAGGACGUUCGAUCCUAUUUUGUUGGUUUCUAGGAUUGACGUAAUGAUUAAUAGGGAUAGUUGGGGGCAUUAGUAUUCAAUUGUCAGAGGUGAAAUUCUUGGAUUUAUUGAAGACUAACUACUGCGAAAGCAUUUGCCAAGGAUGUUUUCAUUAAUCAAGAACGAAAGUUAGGGGAUCGAAGACGAUCAGAUACCGUCGUAGUCUUAACCAUAAACUAUGCCGACUAGGGAUCGGAUGAUGUUAAUUUUUUAAUGACUCAUUCGGCGCCUUACGGGAAACCAAAGUGUUUGGGUUC